This 2549-nucleotide long non-coding RNA is filed under the name Vitis vinifera (wine grape). RNAcentral describes it as "long non-coding RNA (VVIN_LNC002714)". Lineage: Eukaryota; Viridiplantae; Streptophyta; Magnoliopsida; Vitales; Vitaceae. The record is from RNAcentral.
CUUCCUUUGCUCCGUUGGAUACUCUGAAAACAUUGAAAUUUUUGUAAGAGACGGUACAAAGGUGAAUUGUGAUUCGCAGAAGAUGAAACCAGGCGAUCUGAAUUACCCAUCAUUCUCAGUGGUAUUCAACGCCGACAGUGCUGUAAUUAAACGCGGCAGGGUGGUGAAACACAAGAGGGUGGUUAGAAACGUUGGCAGUUCGAAGAAUGCAGUGUACUCGGUGAAGGUGAAUCCUCCGCCAUCCGUUAAAAUCAAUGUUUCACCGAGUAAGCUUGUGUUCACUGAAAAGAAUCAAGUGGCAUCGUAUGAGGUUACGUUCACUAGCGUUGGAGCUUCUCUCAUGACGGAGUUUGGGUCUAUAGAAUGGACCGAUGGGUCCCAUAGGGUGAGGAGCCCAGUGGCCGUCAGGUGGCAUAACGAUUUAGUGGCUUCGAUGUGAUUUUGAUAUUUGGAUUGGUAAUUUAAGGGUGUGACUUGUGAAUUUUUCUUCUUUCUCUUGAAAUGUUAGAUGUGAUCAAUCUUCUCAUGUAAGAAGCCUAUGCCAUACUUCAAAAGCUUCUUUUCAAUGUUCGAUAGCUUAAGGAAAGACCAUUAUGACCUAUAAAAUAUUUGGCUUUCAUAGAAUUGCAUACUUCUAGAAUUAAUUUUAUUUCAUUAAAAAAAUUAAUUUCACUCCAAUACUUUAUAUAAAUUAAUUUGAAGAAAUAAAACUGAUAAAAACUUUAUCCUUAACUUACUUUUAUCCUUGGGCAUGCUUACACGUGAAUAGAUAUUUGUAAUUUAAUUUCAAUUUUCUAUCCACCAAUUAAAUUAUAUCUUAAUCUCAUCAAAUAAUCAUCUUAAAAAUGGUGUACAAGAAAAUUGAAAUUAACAAUUAAUUUUAUUUAUUAUGUUUCAAAUGUCUUUGCUUCCCAACAUGUAUGUCUACAUAGUAAGAAACUAAACUGCAAGUGCCAUUCCCCCUAAGGCUAUCGAUCAUCAUAGUCCUUCUCCCCAUUGCCUUUUUUUUUUUUUUAAUUUGGGUCCAUUAAAGCUUAUUGUGCAAUCUUUUAGUUCUUGAGAAAUGGGAUCGAGUGAAUUAGUUACAAGAUUAAACAUUAAGGUGAUGUUUGUUUUUUAGGUGAAUAAAAAAAGUCAAAAUAUUUGAUAUUUUCUAUUCAAUUAAAAGUAAUUCAUUGACAAUAAUCGACAUAAUUAAACUAAAAUUAUUGAUAACAAGUUCACUUUAAUUAUAUUGGUUAAUAUCAACAAUGUCGUUUUAGCUUAAUAGAAAAAGUAAAAUAUUUUGGUUUUUUCUAUUCAGUAAAAAAACAAAUACCAUAUAAAGUUAUGUUUAAUUCCAAAAAAUUAAAGAAAAAUAUGAAGAAAAAAAAAGUAAAUUUAAAAUCAAUAAACUACUUUAAUAUGUUACUCCAAAUUUAUUUCAUUUAUUUUAACAUUUUUUUUGCAAAAAUUAAAUAAUUUAAAAAUAUAUAAAAUUUUCACUCAUUAUAAUUAUAUUUGAUUUUUGUUUACAUUUUUUAUAAUACAAUCAUAUAUGAGAAGAAUAUUUUUUUUUUAAUAAUUUUUUUUUAAAAAAAAUUGAGAACCAAAUAUAACCUAAAAUAUAUUUCAUCAUUAAAUUAUUUUUAUAUAUUAUAUCAAAUCCAUUUAGCUUAUUUCAACUUUUCUCUAUAAAGAUUCAAACAAAACAUGGUGUAACUGUGUAAGGAGCAACAAUAAUUGAAGGUAAACCUUUUUAUUAUAUCAUAUUUUUCAUACCUUACUUUUGUUUCCCCCUACCUUCUUGUUACCUUCCCUAAUCACUAUCCCACACAUGGAGAGAAUCCCACCACGCCAAUCAACAAGGUGCCAUUAUCAUUCUUGUCGUUUCUCCAUAAACAGCCAUAAUUUAGCUUCAUGGAAGGGAAAGUGACCCACCGGCCUUAUCUCUCUCAUUACCAUAUCACAAACCUCCAAUAAAAUUGAGAUUUGUAUCUCUUUUUUUAAAUCAUAUAUUUUUUUUAAGUUACUACAAAAAUACAAAAUAUAAUAGAAAUAAAAUAAGUAUAAAUUGUUUUUAUAUCUCACCAUUAUAGUUAUAAAAGGAAGAGAAAAAAAAAAAGGAAGCAUAAAGCGGCAAUGGCAUUCCAAGGUAAAUAAACUCAAUCCCUUUUGUGGGGGCUAAAAACUCCAUACCUUUCGUUGCAUUUGAAGUUCCGAUUUCUAAGGAGACUGAGUGAGAAUCGUCCAUGGGGAUUCCUUCUUCCCUUUUCUCCCUCAUUCUCUGCCUCUCUCUUGUCUCUGCAACUUUAUCGUUGGACGAAUCACAGACGUUCGUCGUCCACGUGUCUAAAUCUCAUAAGCCAUCCGCUUACGCCACCCACCACCACUGGUACUCCUCCAUCGUCCGGUCACUCGCCUCCUCAGGGCAGCCCUCCAAGAUUCUUUACAGCUACGAGCGAGCUGCCAAUGGCUUCUCCGCUAGGCUUACUGCCGCUCAGGCGUCGGAGCUCCGUCGCGUCCCCGGUGUGCUUUCGGUAUUGCCGGACCGGGCACACCAGAUUCAC